Molecule: long non-coding RNA, 1515 nt
Organism: Solanum stenotomum
Lineage: Eukaryota; Viridiplantae; Streptophyta; Magnoliopsida; Solanales; Solanaceae
Exons: 5
Source: RefSeq, a predicted model, not a curated record
UCUGUGAAAUUGGUUCUUCAAAUCCCCAAACCCUCUACAAAAUUCUUAAUCUUAAAUUUUAUGGUACAAACUGCUACUAACCUAUAUGUAUAUCCUCUUGUUUCGAAAAUGAUAGCCUGUGAAACCUAGUAAUCGAACUCCAUUUGUUCAGUGGCAGAGGAUUUAGGCAUGAAAACUACAAAAGAGAUGAUGGGCUUGAGCUUGGCAGGAACUUUGACGGAAAGACAUCUAAACUUGUGGAGUCCUGCGAGAAGUCUAUUGUGCAAAGCUGCUCAUCACUAGCCUGAUGGCAAUUGCAGAAAGGUUGAGGAAAAAUGUUAAGGAAAGGUAUUUAUAGUGAAGGUGAUGAUGUUACAAAACAAUAGACUCUCAACAUAUUGCAGCUUAACAUAGAUAGCUCCCUGCAAUAUCCCUCAUAUUUCAGGUAAUAAUUUUUCAUAAAAGAAAGUUAUAUGAAUUUUAUGUUUUUGUCAUAUGAUAUCUCAUAUAUGUAGGAAUCAAUUAUGAUGAUUAACUUGAUCGAGAAACAUAAUGAGAAGUUCUCUUUUUGAACAAAUUGCUUUAGAUAACAAGUAUAUUAGCUACUGGGGUAAUUAUUAAUUUCAAAUGUUAUUUUAAAAGUUAUGCAUGCACUAAUUUUGAAUAGACAUCAAUGUCCUGUUUAUACUACGUCAUUAUAAUAGAUUUUCGUUCUACCAAUUGUAUUAUGACAGUGUCAUUUGAUCUCGGUGUGUUUUGUGAGGAGAUAUUUACACUACAACUUGAUUGAUUGAAAGAACUUUGUGUCACCUUUCAAUGGAGCUAUAGUUAAAUUAUAUGAUGAAGGAGAAUGACUAAGUGAAAAUAUUUCUCGUGUAUGUUAGAUAACUUAAGUGUAUCAUAAUAUUCAGAGGCCACAUACAACUGUUGAAGAAGAGGAAACUUGUCCACUAAUUAAAAAAAGAAGAGAAAGUUGUAGCUAGAAAAUUAGGGGAAUCAUUUGAUGAUGACUAAUGUAAAAUGUAAUUGGAAUAAACUAUAUUUUGUUUCUUGGUGGACAGAUAAUUUUUCUAACCAUCUUGAAGGCUCUAUUGAUUAUUGCUUAUGAUUAUUUGUCACUGUCUUGAAUUGUAAAACGUAACUGGCAUAAAUUUUUGUUGUUUAUGCUAAGUUCUGUCUUGAAAACUCCUUCAUUACAUACACACUCUUUCUCUAUCUCAUCGAUACACUAAUUCAUUAUUAUUUGUAUUCUUGCGGCCUCUUUUACACUGAUGUGUUACUUUGAAGUGUGUGGUUGUACAUGUAGAGAUUUUUCAGAAAAACUAUACUUGAAGAAUUUGAGGUUCUUUGCUCAAGUUUUGACUUUUGAAGAUAUAGGUUUUGAAGACCCACGUACAGGCUAUACAAAGCUGAUUAUCGUCUUUGCUAAGAUUUUUGGGAAAAACAUUACAAUACAUAAUAGGGAUGUUAGGUUUGGGAUUGUAUAAACACUGUUAUGGAUAUGCUAUGUGUAUGUGAUAGUUGGUAUGCAACAUU